RNAcentral lists this ribosomal RNA (253 nucleotides) under uncultured bacterium. Its description in RNAcentral is "partial 16S ribosomal RNA". It matches the Rfam family "Bacterial small subunit ribosomal RNA", at positions 524 to 776 of the family's 1533-position model. The record is from RNAcentral.
UACAGAGGUCCCGAGCGUUGUUCGGAUUUAUUGGGCGUAAAGGGUGCGUAGGCGGCGGAGUAAGUUGGGUGUGAAAUCCCGAGGCUCAACCUCGGAAGUGCAUUCAAUACUGCUUCGCUCGAGUACUGGAGAGGAGGCUGGAAUUUACGGUGUAGCAGUGAAAUGCGUAGAUAUCAGGAGGAACACCGGUGGCGAAGGCGGGGCUCUGGGCCGAUACUGACGCUGAGGAGCGAAAGCGUGGGGAGCGAACAGG